This is a long non-coding RNA of Spea bombifrons (plains spadefoot toad), 363 nucleotides long. RefSeq lists it as uncharacterized. NCBI's taxonomy places the organism in Eukaryota, Metazoa, Chordata, Amphibia, Anura, Pelobatidae. The transcript has 2 exons. The record is from RefSeq and is a predicted model, not a curated record.
CCACUCUAGGCCUCUAUGUUAUUACAAUUCUAUUGAUAAGAGCGUAAAUGAUCAAGAGGGUCAACCCCAGAAAGUUUCUCCAGCACGAAGGGCCAAAAUGUCCCUGGAUAAUGCAUAGAUAUGCUGGGCCAUCUUCUUUAGAGUAUCUUGAGCUGACAAUGGCCCUUUGUGACGUACAGUUGAAAUGUAUUUUUAGUAUUUCUGAGAUUUAAGAAAACAUUUUUUUUUUAACUGAUUUUUUUCGGUUGAUUAUUAAGGCUGAUUUAUGCAAAAUCAAAAAUGAUUUUGAUGCAGUUGUGAAUUUUUUAAAUUUUUUUUACCAUCGCUUUUGGAGAUUAACCCCUUAAGGACCAGGCUGUUUUU